GCACUCGUAGCUCAGCUGGAUAGAGCAUCGGAUUUCGAUUCCGAGGGUCGGGAGUUCGAAUCUCUCCGAGUGCG
Transfer RNA from Afipia sp. GAS231, 74 nucleotides. It matches the Rfam family "tRNA". From Rfam's summary of the family: Transfer RNA (tRNA) molecules are approximately 80 nucleotides in length. Their secondary structure includes four short double-helical elements and three loops (D, anti-codon, and T loops). Further hydrogen bonds mediate the characteristic L-shaped molecular structure. tRNAs have two regions of fundamental functional importance: the anti-codon, which is responsible for specific mRNA codon recognition, and the 3' end, to which the tRNAs corresponding amino acid is attached (by aminoacyl-tRNA synthetases). tRNAs cope with the degeneracy of the genetic code in two manners: having more than one tRNA (with a specific anti-codon) for a particular amino acid; and 'wobble' base-pairing, i.e. permitting non-standard base-pairing at the 3rd anti-codon position. NCBI's taxonomy places the organism in Bacteria, Pseudomonadati, Pseudomonadota, Alphaproteobacteria, Hyphomicrobiales, Nitrobacteraceae. The record is from Rfam.